This 252-nucleotide ribosomal RNA is filed under the name Triticum aestivum (bread wheat). Its description in RNAcentral is "partial small subunit ribosomal RNA". Lineage: Eukaryota; Viridiplantae; Streptophyta; Magnoliopsida; Poales; Poaceae. The record is from RNAcentral.
ACCUGCAACCCCAACUGGUAAGAGAUAUCGAAUGAGUUGUUUUCUGGUCAGACAGUGCAAGACUAACCUGAUCUUGUGGCUCGUGUGUUCCAUGGAAAGCUAGAGGCUAUGAAUGAGAUGUUAUUCAAGAAGCAUAUCCUGGGUGUUGUUGUUGCGUAUGUAUAUGUAGUCGAGUUCCAAAAGAGGGGCCUCCCACACACACACUUUCUGUUGAUCAUGGAUUCUGCAUAUAAGCUUGGCAUUCCGGAGUAG